GCCGUCAUGGCCCAGGGGCACAAGCGUCCAGCUGUAGACGAGAUGGUCAUGGGUACGAUUCUCACUCGGGGCA
RNAcentral lists this transfer RNA (73 nucleotides) under Heliconius melpomene (postman butterfly). RNAcentral's name for it is "tRNA HMEL016231". The record is from RNAcentral. Lineage: Eukaryota; Metazoa; Arthropoda; Insecta; Lepidoptera; Nymphalidae.